RNAcentral lists this long non-coding RNA (828 nucleotides) under Oncorhynchus kisutch (coho salmon). RNAcentral's name for it is "lncRNA (ENSOKIG00005050704.1)". The record is from RNAcentral. Lineage: Eukaryota; Metazoa; Chordata; Actinopteri; Salmoniformes; Salmonidae.
GUUGUGCUUCUGUUUACUCGUCUGGCACGACACCGCUGUGCAAAUCGUUUGUCAAGCCAUCCAAGCAGGUCCAGGUGGUGUGUGAGUGCAUCCUGGUUAUGCGAGGCCAGGAGAUCAGUUGGAAGUCAGCCAAGAGCAUGAUGGAAAUGUACUGGGAUGCCAUCAACACCAGCCAGGUCAAGACUGUCAGAGUUUCUUGGAGAACCUGAACACCAGCUUUGAGGAAAUGCAGACUAUCAGUAAGGCUGGUUCUGGGAUGUUCAAGUUUGUGGAGGCUGUCAUGGGCUACCGUGACGUCGCCAGGGAGAUCAAGCCCAAGAGAGAGAAGGUGAGGUGCCCAGAGAAGAAUGUCUUCCAGAGCAAGUGUGAGCUGGGGCGUAUUCUGAACCAUCCAUAGGGAGCUGGGGGCGCUGGGGGACAAGUACAAUACUGCCAUGGGGAGAUGCAGUUGCUGCACAAAGAGGCUGAGGUCAUGGAGAGGAGGCUGAUCGCUGCUGACAAACUCAUCUCAGGCCUGGGCUCAGAGAACAACCCUUCUUCCACAACAAGGAGAUGGACUACAAGAUCCCUCCUGACGGGCCCAAGGAAAAUGAUGUUGGUGGAUGAAGUGGAGGCCCAAUGGGAUGUGGUUAUCUGGGUUGCAGGUCCCAGAGUCCUACCUGACUGCUUUGGUUCAGGCCACCUGCAGGAGGAACAGCUAGACUGCUCCACACUCUACACACAGGUCACCCAGUACAGCACUGAGCAGGAGGUCAACGUGAGACCUGGACAGGGUGAGAAUCCUUUAACAGACACACACACACACUGUCACGCCCUGGCCAUAGAGAG